Molecule: ribosomal RNA, 253 nt
Filed under: uncultured bacterium
Lineage: Bacteria
Description: partial 16S ribosomal RNA
Rfam family: Bacterial small subunit ribosomal RNA
Source: RNAcentral
UACAGAGGGUGCGAGCGUUAAUCGGAAUUACUGGGCGUAAAGCGUGCGUAGACGGUAUCGUAAGUCAGAUGUGAAAGCCCCGGGCUCAACCUGGGAAUUGCAUUUGAGACUGCUCUGCUCGGGUGCGGAAGAGGGAAGCGGAAUUUCCGGUGUAGCGGUGAAAUGCGUAGAUAUCGGGAGGAACACCGGUGGCGAAGGCGGUUCUCUGGGCCGGUACUGACGCUGAGGAGCGAAAGCGUGGGGAGCGAACAGG